RNAcentral lists this ribosomal RNA (301 nucleotides) under uncultured bacterium. Its description in RNAcentral is "partial 16S ribosomal RNA". It matches the Rfam family "Bacterial small subunit ribosomal RNA", at positions 509 to 809 of the family's 1533-position model. The record is from RNAcentral.
CAGUAGCCGCGGUAAUACAGAGGGUGCGAGCGUUAAUCGGAUUUACUGGGCGUAAAGCGUGCGUAGGCGGCUUUUUAAGUCGGAUGUGAAAUCCCUGAGCUUAACUUAGGAAUUGCAUUCGAUACUGGGAAGCUAGAGUAUGGGAGAGGAUGGUAGAAUUCCAGGUGUAGCGGUGAAAUGCGUAGAGAUCUGGAGGAAUACCGAUGGCGAAGGCAGCCAUCUGGCCUAAUACUGACGCUGAGGUACGAAAGCAUGGGGAGCAAACAGGAUUAGAUACCCCUGUAGUCCUGUCUCUUAUACA